GGUUAAGCGACUAAGCGUACACGGUGGAUGCCCUGGCAGUCAGAGGCGAUGAAGGACGUGCUAAUCUGCGAAAAGCGCCGGUAAGGAGAUAUGAACCGUUACAGCCGGCGAUGUCCGAAUGGGGAAACCCAGUGUGAUUC
Molecule: ribosomal RNA, 140 nt
Filed under: Pseudomonas aeruginosa
Lineage: Bacteria; Pseudomonadati; Pseudomonadota; Gammaproteobacteria; Pseudomonadales; Pseudomonadaceae
Description: partial 23S ribosomal RNA
Rfam family: Bacterial large subunit ribosomal RNA
Source: RNAcentral